GUUGGCAAAAGGCCAAACGCCUGGGGCGUUGCUCCAGCGGCACAUGGCACUGCCUCUGUGGGAUUCAGCCGCGAGCCAGCCCACGCACGACAUCCUUGCCGUUGCUGGUCGUGUGUGGUCGUGCAGUGACAAAUAAACCCCUGAAGCCCCUUCUGCCAUGCUCCGUCUGAUAAUGUCGUGCGCAGGCGGCAUUGGCAGUGCUGCAAUGUGCUGCGUGUGGGCAGCAGAACUACUCGCCGGCGCUGGACGCCCUCAAGUGCUGCGCGGACCGCCUGCCUGUCUCCCUGCAGCUGCUGGAAACCUAUGCCACCAAUGACCGGGACACGGCCCUGGCGCUGAUGCGCGGCGAGCUGUGCGUGGCCGCCCUGACGGCGCUGCACCCGCUCAGCAGCGGCGAGGCCUCCUCGACCGCCACACAGCUGCAGGUGGACCGCCUGCUGCCGCUGCGCGUGUGUGCAGAGACCGGCGGCGGUAAAGGCGGCAGCAACGGUCGCAGCGGCAGCGGCAGCGGGGACGGCGAGGGCGACGGCGACGGCGACGGCAGCGGGGACGGAAGCGGGGACGGCGAGGGCGAGGGCGACGGCGGCAGCACAUCUGGGCCCCGUGUUGGACCCGGGGUCACGGCCGUGCUGGAGAUCCAGCAGAUCAAGUCCAGCAGCGCAGGUACGUGGGUGUUGCGAGUGCACUUGAAGACAUGGACCGGGCAUGCAUGGGCGGGGCGACCGUAUAUGUGGAAAGCGCACGUCCGCCCCACAGCUGGAGCGUUCCCUGGAGCGUUCCCUUGUUAACAUGCUCCCUGGCCCGGUACAACACAGGUCUUCCGACGGCGCGGGCGCAAGUGGCCCGGUGCGGCCGCAUCUUUGCGUGCGUGUAUAGCGUCCUACGGGAGCGGCUGUCGGAGGCGUUGGCCAACGCCGAGGUGCAGCUGCCGCCGGAGCUGCGGCUGCAGGCCACGAUCGCGCUCGGCCAGGACGGCGAGCCCGGAGCCAGCGAGGAGCAGCGCCCGCCGCAGCUGGAGCUGUCCACCGCCGACGGCGGCCGGACCCUGAUGCAGAUGCAGUACUUGGUCCUGGCGGCGGAGACGCUGGUGCCCUGGGUGCCGAGCCGGCAGCAGUGAGCGGGCGGGCCUCGGCCUCGGCAGUGGAUGGCUGGGGGGCACGGGACGACCAGGCAGCGGCGGUGGCACUCGGCACGCCUGCUGCAACCGUGUCACGCAGCAUACCUAGCAAUCAAGCGGCCAGCCGUUGAUGCUCACGCUGCCGCUAGCUGGACUGCGGCGCGCUGUGGCGGCGGCAGCAGCGCCGACCGGGCAGUGGGCGCUGCCCACAGCUUCUUUGGGGUGUACGGCAGCGCUGGCGGCGUGGUCCACGGUCGUGGGCGGUCGUUGGGACCGCAGACACAGCUGGCGCUGUGAUGUAGCGAUGUACACGAGGCGAGGGCCUCUGAGACCAAUCGCUGUGUUGCUUCCCCCGACAGUGCCAUGGCACGGCAGGGGCUUGAGGGUGGAGGGUAAGUGUGUGAGGAGAGCGAGGGAGUCCUUUUAUGUGCGGCACGUCUUGAAGGUGUUUGCUAGUGUAGCGGCUGGUGCGAGGGUAAGGCACGUUCGUGUUAGAUACACCGUUGACUCCAAUGUGUCUGACCCUUACUGGCGGGCGUUGUGCCACCAGGGAACCCGGGGCACCACCACAAAGGCCCCGGGAGUGCCGCCAGGAACGCAUACAUCUGUUGUUCUGGCUCAAUUUGCAAAGACAGAAUGCAGGAUUGACCUUUUAAAUGCCUGGUUUUUACUAUGGCGCUGUGUUUGUAAUGCAGUGAGGGGGUGGUGGGGUGGUCAUACUAUCUGCGUGCCCACGUUUUUGCACUGCCGGGGCUGGGUAGGGCCUGCUGGUUGCUGCGCAUGAUGCAAUGGAUGGCGGUGGAGCGCGGCGGCGGCGGCGGCGCACGGCCUGUGCCCAGCAGCGGCGGCGUGCAUGUGCGCAGCAGAGCCGGCAGGCAUGGCCACGUGGAGGAGGAGAGCGGUGCGCUGCCUGAGCAGCGGCGCCGUCGCGCAGGUUCAGAAGUGCUGGUGUCUGGUCUUUGUGGCGAGCAUAGCGUAGCGAUUUACUGCUAGGUGGUUUGUUGCGGGCUGAGCUUGUACUUGACAGCGGGGGGCGGCUCGACACAUGGCGGGUGGUGCCUGUACGAACCGACCCCGGCUUUGUCCGGGGGAUGAGGUAGUUUCGAAACCUUCGGCCUCGGACAUUGCACCAACGUGGCGUGGCCGCACAGCCCAAUUUUCCCCUGGAGACCUGCCUUGUCCGCACCCGUGGUUGUUGGCUUCCAGGAGUGGCAUGACUCCUUGGCGGGUCUACCAAGUGGAGUAGCUGCAAAGACAGCUUGUGACGGCGUUCUGCCUUUGAGAGAAGUCAGUGUUGUGCUUGAGGGGGCGAUCACUCGCAUUGCAUAGCUGAGCCGUGCUGGGCAGGCGGGCGAGGGGGAGGGGGAGGGGGAGGGGCGGUGGUGGACUGGAGGUAGGACUGGAGGUACGGGAGGAGGUAGGGCAGGCGGUAGCGGCGGUAGGGGAGGCAGGAGCGCUGGGUGGUGGAGCGCUGGCACUGGCGCAGGCGGGGGCUGUUGAGGGUCAGACCCAGGGGUGCAGGCGGCGGCAUUUUGAUUUGCGUGUCGGCACGGCGUGUUCACUUGAAUGCAGUCAGGUGGAGGCAAGGCUUGACGUGUAUUGAGUGAUUCGGUUAUGCGGACAGUCACGCGGAAACGCGGGUGUAGCGCCGAGCUGGGGGACACGAGGCGCCGAGCCGGGGGUGCGGGGCGCCAGUCCAGAGCGUGGGGGCCAUCGUCGCGAGGCCCAGGCAUCGCGGAUGAGACAGGUAAGGCCAGCACGCCAAAUAUUCUGGUGGAGCGCCGAGCGCGGACACUACAUUGCUUAAUUACCCGCAUUGCUGCGUCGCAAACGCUCUUUCAGUCAGUGCCAACGAUACUGCCCCGCGCGGUUGCGCGUUCUUACCUGCUUUCCUGCGCGAACGAAACGGCAGCCCUUAGGAUUCCUAUUAAAUGUGAUUCAUAUCACCACUCGCACAUUUUACCACAGGCCUACAGCUCGUCGCUGGCUGGCCUAUGUUGCUGACGCGGCUGAGUCGACCCGCGGCAGCAGGUACACUGCUUCUGCGUGGUUGCAAUAAUUUAGGACUGCGCUAGAGUGCAAGCGCGGCGCUCACGAAGCUGACCAGCCGAGGCCCGUCGCAUGCAGGCACGCCGGGCAUGCGCGCAACUCCGCAUGUGCGGCAUGGCGCCUGCCUUGGUUCACACUGGCGUGGAUGUGGAACGGCGAGCCACGGGCGCGCCUGGCGUGUCGCGGCCGCGUGCCACCUGCCCGAGGGGAGCGCGGGAGCCACCCCGGGAGUCGGGUGAGUCGGCGCCUGUUGCAGCGCCAACUGCUGUAACAUAGUUUGCGAAUGCAUGCUCGCAAGUAACAGCACCGAAUGCACCCUGCACGCAGGUCGCCGCCUGCAGCUGCAGCAGGGCAGGUGGGAAGACCCAGGGGACAAACUUUGCAACGCUUCUCAAGAAGGGCGUGUAGUGCGCGCAGGGGUUUACUAGUAUUGCGUUAAAGCUUUCAACCUGGUGAACGCUUUUCUUCAUUGUACUCAAUACCCUCGCUCUGCUGACAGGUGAGGCAGCAUACUGAUGCCCUGCGCCCCGCCCACCAACUCGAGGUCACGGCCUACCUCCAAUACCAGCCAGGCCGCUAGCUUGCCCGCCGCUACCUCGUGCACGUGUGGCGGCAGCCCGGGAGGCAGCACGCACUUCGCCACACUGGCCGCAUCCUUCAGGACCACGCUUCCGCGGGCGCCGUUGUUGGAGGCCGUCUCCUGCUUCUGCUGCUCGCGAUCACGCAGCGCCCUGCCCACGACGGCCUUCACUAGUAUUGCGGUUGUGUCUUCAAUCCGGCGAAGGCUUGUCAUAACAGGGUUCAGCUUCCGAUCGAGCAUCGCCGCGAAAGCUUUAGCGCAAUACUAGUGGAGGCCGUCGCGGGCAGGGCGCUGCGUGAUCACGAGCAGCAGAAGCAGGAGGCGGCCUCCAACAACGGCGCCCGCGGAAGCGUGGUCCUGAAGGAUGCGGCCAGUGUGGUGAAGUGCGUGCUGCCUCCCGGGCUGCCGCCACACGUGCACGAGGUGGCGGCGGGCAAGCUGGCGGCCUGGAUGGUAGAGGAGGUAGGCCGUGACCUUGAGUUGGUGGGCGGGGCGCAGGGCAUCAGUAUGCUGCCUCACCUGUCAGCAGAGCGAGGGUAUUGGCGUGCAUGUGAUGCAUGCCCCAGGGGCAUGUAUGGAUGCCCGAUGGGUGCCUAGACAGCAGGCACAGUCCGUGCUGGCGGCCGUCUCUGCCCUACCGCGCCAUGUAACAGCGCCGCACCCGCCAUGCAGGACCGGGGCCUACGUGCUAUCCUGGAGUCGGAGCUGCGUGCGGUCCCUUCCAGGCUCACCAAUAAAGCAAACGCGCAGUGGAAGGCGGCAGCGGCGAGUGCCGCCCAGGUGUGCGACUGGGGCGGGACGGGAUGAGUAGGGGGUUGCUUGCGGGCUGGGCUUGUGCUCCGUGCUGCACGCUGCUGUGUGCUGUGGUUCGAGCAUGUGUGCAUGGAUUCAUCAAAAGCAGUUGGCAAAAGGCCAAACACCCAGGGCAUUGCGCCAGCGGCUUAUGGCACUGCCUUUGUAAGUUUCAGCCGCGAGCCAGCCCACGCACGACAUCCUUGCCGUUGCUGGUCGUGCGUGGUCGUGCAGUGGCAAGUAAAACCCCGAAGCCCCUCCUGCCAUGCUCCGUCUGAUGAUGUCGUGUGCAGGCGGCAUUGGCAGUGCUGCAAGGUGCUGCGUGUGGGCAGCAGAACUACUCGCCGGCGCUGGACGCCCUCAAGUGCUGCGCGGACCGCCUGCCUGUCUCCCUGCAGCUGCUGGACACCUAUGCCACCAGUGACCGGGACACGGCCCUGGCGCUGAUGCGCGGCGAGCUGUGCGUGGCCGCCCUGACGGCGCUGCACCCGCUCAGCAGCGGCGAGGCCUCCUCGACCGCCACACAGCUGCAGGUGGACCGCCUGCUGCCGCUG
RNAcentral lists this long non-coding RNA (5092 nucleotides) under Chlamydomonas reinhardtii. RNAcentral's name for it is "long non-coding RNA (CREI_LNC000080)". Lineage: Eukaryota; Viridiplantae; Chlorophyta; Chlorophyceae; Chlamydomonadales; Chlamydomonadaceae. The record is from RNAcentral.